Non-coding RNA from Physcomitrium patens, 3334 nucleotides. NCBI's taxonomy places the organism in Eukaryota, Viridiplantae, Streptophyta, Bryopsida, Funariales, Funariaceae. The record is from RefSeq and is a predicted model, not a curated record.
CCGGAACUGCUUUUUCGUCGAUCGUCGUCUCAGGUGGGACGCCAGACCCGACCGUGUGCUUGGUUGCCGGCUUGUCGUUGCUGACACGCAUAUUUAGUUUCCCUCCUCUUCUUCCUCCUAUUCCUCCUCUCGGACUGCGCAGUCGCUUUCGUGGGCAUUCUAGAUAUACAUCAUAAUUUUUGGAAGCUCAUCGUUGGUUUUCGCAUCUUUCCCUGUCCUUUGCGCUUGUGUCGCCUGCUUCGUGGCGCGUGGCCGUUCUGGGUCAUAGUGUGGAUUCUCUCUGCGCAUAUCGUGCAGUGUUGGGUUUCUUGACGUGCUUUUAGAUAAGCGAACAAAUAGUCAGCGUGUGCUAGGGGAUGCUACUCGUGCAAAGGGUUUUUUAUUUUUAUUUUUAUUGUAUCGGCUUUAAAAAAAUUGUUACGUUUUCCGAAUCACCGUCCAAUUUGCGGAGCUGAGCGUCCUUCACGAGCCGUCUUUCCUUUCGUAUCGUCAAUCUCAUCUGAAGUUAUUUCGGAGGAGCGGGAUUUAUGUGUGCGCACCCGUCUUGGCAAGAGUAGAUGAUGGAUGUCAGUGGAAAGCAGAGAAUGGCAGUUUGAAAAGCUGAGCGGCAGAUUUUGAUGUUUCACAGGUGAAUGAAACUCUCGUGUAGAGUAGCACGCGACAGUUCGCAGGAAAGACAGGGAAUCCUUUGAGUUGGCAAAGUAUGUUGUUCUUGUGAACUCGGAACCUUCGAUUUGCACCUGGGUUUACCAAAAUCCCUAGAGGAGAUUACCUCCUUAGAAUCUGGCAUCGAUUCGAAGGAUCCGAUUUUGUAUUCCGUUGAAUCAUUUUAAUUUAGGGUGUAUUCUCAAGGUCACGGUUUCGAACUGAAAGGCGAUCUCUACAGUUAUUUCAGCGGUUGCUUCUGCAUCCUGAAGAUACAGGAUGAUUCUUUGCAUACGGUAGUGAAUGGCAAGUGGAGGGGCCAUGGAUUUAAGAGAGUGGAAGCUUGCGAGGCAAGAAGCGGCGCUGAAGGAGAAGGAGACGGAGGCAAAGAAAGUGGCAUGGACCAACUUCCCCAAGGACCUGAUGCUGGGAGCGUUAAUGGGUGGGGUGGCGCAUACUAUUGUGGCGCCGGUGGAGAGGGCCAAACUGCUCCUGCAAACCCAGGACAGCAAUAUGGUUGUCAUCGAUGGCAAGCACACGCGCUACAAAGGACUAUUAGAUUGUAUCAUGAGGAUCGCUAAAAAUGAGGGCGUCCUCUCUUUGUGGCGCGGCAACGUCAGCAGCGUUCUUCGUUACUAUCCUUCUCUUGCCAUCAAUUUUGCCUUCAAGGAUUUUUAUCGAGUGCUAUUGACUUCUGGUCGAACUGAAGGGAAGGGCACUUUGAGCAAUGCCCCGGCCAAUUUCCUCGCAGGUGCGCUGGCUGGUUGCACUAGCUUGGUCUUCGUCUACCCACUCGACAUUGCUCACACACGUAUUGCAGCCGACAUCGGCCGUGGAAGUAACCGGCAAUUCCAAGGCCUUGGUGAUUUUUUGCGAACCAUUUACAGCAAAGACGGCAUUCGCGGCGUCUACCGUGGAUUCCCCGCAUCUGUUCAUGGUAUGGUAGUACACCGGAGUGUUUACUUCGGUGGGUUUGAUACCAUGAAAGAGUAUCUGUCUCAGGACACAUAUUUAUCCUUCUGGAAGCGGUGGUUGAUAGCUCAGGGAGUUACUACAUCUGCUGGUCUCAUCUCCUACCCUCUUGAUACCGUGAGACGGCGAAUGAUGAUGCAGGCGGGUCUCGAGAAGAACAUGUAUAAUAACACGUUAGAUUGUUGGAAGAAAGUCUACCGUCAUGAGGGAGUUAUGGCCUUUUACAAGGGUGCGGUGACAAAUUUGGUUCGUGGAACGGGGGCAGCUCUCAUCCUCGUUCUCUACGACGAGAUCCGAAACUACAUGCAUUGGACUGGCCCUGCUACUUUAGAACAUCGCCGUGAAUAGUCAGCUGUGUGCGUUUUUGAAUGUCGUUGAGGAGCUUUUCUGAUAAUCUCAAUUGCCAAGAUAUAGAGCACUUCAACAUCAGUGAUGUGUGGUUUGAGCCAAAACAUAUCACAGUAUUUUUCGGGAAGGCGACGAAGCGUUGCAUCGAGACAUGCCAGAAGAAUGCGUCUUGAGUUCCUAAACAGAAUCAUUCGAGUGUUAUUGAUGGUGGACCUGUAUUAACUUGCCUGAGGUAUACUCUAAUGGACAAGAUCGGUGAAUUGUUUGAAUUACCUCAUGAAACUCUGGUUGAGCCUGUCUUGGGCGCUAGUUCCGCAAGUUCAGAGGUCAUUGUAUUCUCAAUUCUUAGCAGUGUAAUUCUGGUUAGUCACGUAUUACUAAUUUUUUGUUCCCAACAACAAAUCAUUAGGAUGGCAUGAUUCACGGGUUGCACGUCCGUUGAAGAUCUCUAAACGUCUAUCUUAAUUUUCAGGCAUUAUUUCAUCCAUCACUUGUAUGUGGUGUUUUGGCUGAAGAUAGUUUAGAUAACUUCCUGCAUGUUUUUGUUUUAAGCUUCAGAUUCAACAUGACUAUAUAAUGCUCCACAUAGAGCAGUGUUCACUGGUGUCUGGCACUGUAGUUCUAAGCGUUUUUGAGCAAUGAAUCCAAUGUCCGGGCUUUGCAGAUAUUGAAGUUGUUUUAACGUCUUGUUGAAUCCAGUCAAUGUAGGUGUCCAGGGAAGCUUUGCGAAUACCCCUUGAUGAGGAGAGCAUGUGAAUACGAACGAAAUUGCUAUGUUUCUAAAGCUCUUGAGGCGCUAUUUGCCUUUUAUGUUUUCUGCCAAAGGGACAUGAUUGGCUGGGACGAUUAUAGUAGGCUGGAUUUGGUUUGAAAGCAUCCUCAAUGUUUGAACAUUCCUAGUUUCAAGUUGGGGAGGAAAAUUUCUAAGGACACCUCAUGAGGAAGGGCACGUUAAUUGGAACUUGGAAGCAGAGUAUCUUUGAAGACGAUCGGAGGGUGAAAUGUAACAUAACUUUCAGAACACUCUUUGUGGGUGACUGAAAUGUACCCUUACUUGAGUUCUUCACCAAGUUGCGGAGGACUCUUUUGAAAUAUCCGGAGGCAUUGUGAACUGAUUUAACAGGCAGGUUUACCUAUUACAACUUUUUACUGCAAAACAUGAAGAUAUGAAGGCUUGAUAACGAAAUUAUCCAGGUAGCCCUCAGCCUUCGUUGGGCAGGUUGAAUGUGAAUUAAAAAAACUGGUUGUCAGUAGUUAGUACUUAUUAUGAGGCAUUUUGAUUAACAUCACCAUACCCAGCACAUCGAGAGUACAUCGCGCACUUGUAAAUCUUCUCAUUAUUUAAUAAACUGAUGAUUUCUUUUCCCAA